GUCUACAGCCAUGCCACCCUGAACAAGCCCAAUGUCUGAUCUCAGAAGCUAACUAAGCAGGAUCAGGCCUGGUUAGUACUUGGAUGGGAGACCACCUAGGAAGACCAGGUGCUAUAGGCA
RNAcentral lists this ribosomal RNA (120 nucleotides) under Pteropus alecto (black flying fox). RNAcentral also lists the same sequence under 1 other name. The record is from RNAcentral. Lineage: Eukaryota; Metazoa; Chordata; Mammalia; Chiroptera; Pteropodidae.